This 253-nucleotide ribosomal RNA is filed under the name uncultured bacterium. RNAcentral describes it as "partial 16S ribosomal RNA". It matches the Rfam family "Bacterial small subunit ribosomal RNA", at positions 524 to 776 of the family's 1533-position model. The record is from RNAcentral.
UACGUAGGUGGCAAGCGUUGUCCGGAUUUACUGGGUGUAAAGGGCGUGCAGCCGGGCUGACAAGUCAGAUGUGAAAUCCCGCGGCUAAACCGCGGAACUGCAUUUGAAACUGUCAGUCUUGAGUACCGGAGAGGUCAUCGGAAUUCCUUGUGUAGCGGUGAAAUGCGUAGAUAUAAGGAAGAACACCAGUGGCGAAGGCGGAUGACUGGACGGCAACUGACGGUGAGGCGCGAAAGCGUGGGGAGCAAACAGG